GACGAACGCUGGCGGCGUGCUUAACACAUGCAAGUCGAACGGAAAGGCCCUGCUUGCAGGGUACUCGAGUGGCGAACGGGUGAGUAACACGUGGGUGAUCUGCCCUGCACUUCGGGAUAAGCCUGGGAAACUGGGUCUAAUACCGGAUAGGAGCCAUUUUUAGUGUGAUGGUUGGAAAGUUUUUUCGGUGUAGGAUGAGCUCGCGGCCUAUCAGCUUGUUGGUGGGGUAAUGGCCUACCAAGGCGGCGACGGGUAGCCGGCCUGAGAGGGUGGACGGCCACAUUGGGACUGAGAUAGGGCCCAGACUCCUACGGGGGGCAGCAGGGGGGAAUAUUGCACAAUGGGCGCAAGCCUGAUGCAGCGACGCCGGGUGGGGGAUGACGGCCUUCGGGUUGUAAACUCCUUUCGCGGGGGACGAAGCUUUUUGUGACGGUACCUAGAUAAGAAGCCCCGGCAAACUACGG
RNAcentral lists this ribosomal RNA (464 nucleotides) under uncultured bacterium. RNAcentral describes it as "partial 16S ribosomal RNA". It matches the Rfam family "Bacterial small subunit ribosomal RNA", at positions 28 to 506 of the family's 1533-position model. The record is from RNAcentral.